UAACAUCAGGUCUUUGAUCUACCAAAAUCUUUUCUUGAUGUGCUUCUUUGGGUAUGAAUGAACAUGAGUCUGGGCUUCUCUGUUUUGUGUUCGAAGGAAAUUGAGAAUUGAUGAAGAACUAGCCAGGAGAGAGAGGAAAAUCUAACGCUAUAAAAAUUAAUAAUGAAUCACGUUGUUAGCAUUUAAAUAAAAUAAAGUGGCGAAAAGGACAAGGAAUUACCAAAACCUUUACUUCUAAGAAGCAAAAUGAAGUAAUUGCUUGGCUUGGCAUAUGGUACCGUGCAAUUGAAAGCAG
This 295-nucleotide long non-coding RNA is filed under the name Jatropha curcas. Its description in RNAcentral is "long non-coding RNA (JCUR_LNC001569)". The record is from RNAcentral. Lineage: Eukaryota; Viridiplantae; Streptophyta; Magnoliopsida; Malpighiales; Euphorbiaceae.